Molecule: ribosomal RNA, 635 nt
Filed under: uncultured bacterium
Lineage: Bacteria
Description: bacterial SSU rRNA
Rfam family: Bacterial small subunit ribosomal RNA (bases 1-543)
Source: RNAcentral
CCUACGGGAGGCAGCAGUGGGGAAUUUUGGACAAUGGGGGCAACCCUGAUCCAGCCAUUCCGCGUGAGUGAAGAAGGCCUUCGGGUUGUAAAGCUCUUUUGUCGGGGACGAAACGGUUACGAUUAAUACUCGUGACAACUGACGGUACCCGAAGAAUAAGCACCGGCUAACUACGUGCCAGCAGCCGCGGUAAUACGUAGGGUGCGAGCGUUAAUCGGAAUUACUGGGCGUAAAGCGUGCGCAGGCGGUUUUGUAAGCCAGAUGUGAAAUCCCCGGGCUUAACCUGGGAAUGGCAUUUGGGACUGCAAGGCUAGAGUAUGGCAGAGGAGACUAGAAUUUCUGGUGUAGCAGUGAAAUGCGUAGAUAUCAGAAGGAAUACCGAUGGCGAAGGCAGGUCUCUGGGUCAAUACUGACGCUCAUGCACGAAAGCGUGGGGAGCAAACAGGAUUAGAUACCCUGGUAGUCCACGCCCUAAACGAUGUCAACUGGUUGUUGGGAUAUUUAUCUCUUAGUAACGAAGCUAACGCGUGAAGUUCGACCGCCGUCGGGAGGUACGGUACGGCGAGAAGUUAAACUAACGAAAGAAGUAGUACGGACGUGAGACGUACGCCGACGGACGACGACGAGGGAGGAGG